CGCAUAUUGCGCUCUUUGGUAUUCCGAAGAGCAUGCUUGUUUGAGUAUCAGUAAACACCUCAAAGCUUUUGGAUUUUUUAAUCGAAAAGCUUUGGACUUGAGCAAUCCCAACACCAAUCUUUUUGAGAUCGGUGGCGGGUUGCUUGAAAUGCAGGUGCAGCUGGACAUUCUCCUGAGCUAAAAGCAUAUUCAUUUAGUCCCGUCAAACGGAUUAUUACUUUUGCUGCAGCUAACAUAAAGGGAGUUUGACCGUAUUGGCUGACUGAUGCAGGAUUUCACAAGGGUCGGCAACGAUUCUUGUUAAACUCGAUCUCAAAUCAAGUAAGACUACCCGCUGAACUUAA
Molecule: unclassified non-coding RNA, 344 nt
Filed under: Linnemannia elongata
Lineage: Eukaryota; Fungi; Mortierellomycota; Mortierellomycetes; Mortierellales; Mortierellaceae
Description: partial contains 5.8S ribosomal RNA, internal transcribed spacer 2, and large subunit ribosomal RNA
Source: RNAcentral